This is a non-coding RNA of Dipodomys spectabilis (banner-tailed kangaroo rat), 922 nucleotides long. The record is from the annotation of a RefSeq genome assembly. NCBI's taxonomy places the organism in Eukaryota, Metazoa, Chordata, Mammalia, Rodentia, Heteromyidae.
CAGCACCCAGCAUGGACACGAAGGUCACUGCUCAGCUUUGGGGCUCCUGCUGCUCUUGCUCCAAGAGCUUCAGGAGUCCGCGGAUCUGAGCAGAGAACCUCAUGUCCAUGCUGUGUGCCAGAGAAAAACUCCAGCAUAGAAUAUGACUGGGCUGUGAAGAAACCCUCAAGUCAGAGGAUAGUGCUUUGGGUAUAUGCAAAUAAGCAGAGCCUGGACAGGGCUGAGCCCAGUGUCCCCAAGAAUCGUCAGUAGAUCAGCUUCAAAUGCAGAAAACAUGAUUGUCUCUGGAUGAUGAAGAAUAGCACCUGUCAAGGAUCUGUGGCAGUGAGUCCCAGUCAGCACACAGCAUGGACAUGAAGAUUGCUACUCAUCUCCUGGUGCUCCUGCUGCUCUGCCUCCCAGGUACCAGUUGUGACAUGCAGAUGACCCAGACUCCAUCCUCCCUGUCUGCCUCUCCAGGAGACACAAUCACCAUCUCCUGCAGAGCCAGUCAGGGUAUUAGCAGGGUAUUAAACUGUUAUCAGCAGAAACCAUGGAAUUUCCCAAAGCUCCUGAUCUAUUACACUUCAAGGUUGGAGUUUGGAGUCCCAACCUGGUUCAGUGGCAGUAGAUCUGAAAAAGAUAAUUCUCUCACCAUCAGCAACCUGGAGCCUAAAGAUUUUGGCACUUAUUACUGUCAACAGCAUGUUAGUUACUCUCCCACAGUGAUAUAAGCCAAGAUAAAAACCUCCCAGGGAAGCAGAAGUGAGAUGCUGGCCUGCCCUUGCUGCUUUGUCUAGUUCUUCUACAGGUUGACACUGCUUCUCAGAUGCAGCCAGACCCUUAAGGAAGAAUUCUCUGCAAUCUAGCAUUCUGUUCUUCUUAGCCCUAGCAAAAUACCAAUGUAGUGAGUCUGAUUUAAUAGUUGAAACCAAUCAUUACA